CUUCCUAAGUCUCUCAUGCAAAGAUGACUGCAAUUGCAACCAUGAUUGCCAUGACAACUCCAAACAGAGAUGAAACAACAGAGUGAGCAUCAGAAGAAGGUGGUGGAGAAGGAGCAGGUGCACCUUCGGCUAGAACAGUGAUGACCAACUUCAUUUGACGAGCCGAACAGUGAUCAGCAACUCCACAAACAUACCACUUUCUUCCUUCUGUUUUUAGUUGAAUGAUAUCCUUUCCUGUAGAAAGUGCUUCAUUUUUUGGUGGAAAAGUGCAGCUUUGAAAGAGUGUGCCAUUUACUUUGAAAACAUUGUGCCUUGCCGGAUCAUAGUUGAAAACUAAAAAGAAAGAGAUGAAACAAAAUUAGUUCAUAUUAGAUUAAUACAUGUUCAUCUAAACAAAAGUUAAUUAUAAUUAUGAGAUACACUAAUUAGUUAAACAAUUGAAUAUGAAACCAAAUGGAUAUUUGUUUUUUCCUUUUAUUACAUACCUAGAUUGUCUCCAACACGAAAAACUUUGUCUUGAGCCCACUGAGUGUAAUCAAAAUCAACGGUCCAACCCUUGUCAUCACCAACAAUGUGAUCAGUUGCAAUUGCAACUGAUGAAAGUAAAACCAUGGAAAUAGAAAGGAUCAAAACUACACGAGAAGAAGCCAUUUGAUCAAAAUUUGAGUUUGGAAAAUAUUUCUCUAAAUUAACUUUAAAAAAAUGAGUGUCAAAAUUUUAUUUCCUAGAAUAAAAUCUCAAUCAAAGGAAUAGCAAGUUAGCAAAUGUAAUUGUUUUGAUUUGAUUUGAUGAAUUGUGCAUAUCAACUUAGGCUAUAUAUAUAUAUAGUUGUCAUGUGUGUGUGUAUUGAUUUUAUCGUCACAACAAUAAUAGAAUAUUUGUUUGCUAUUAUAAACGGCUACCGGAUUUGGUCGGCUUUACUAAGACGAGGUUGAAUUUCCACAACUUAUUAUUUUUUACCUUUUUGGAAUACACUUAUAUUAUUUUAGGUUUUUUCUUGAUUACCUUUGAAGAAUGGUGGGUAAUUUACCCACCAACCAAUGAAAAUGAGCAAUUUGUUGGUGGGGUCAAGAUAGUUCAUGGAUACCACUUAAAAAUGUGUUUAUGUGGCUAAUGUGUAUUGGUUGGGAUAAAUUACCCACCAUUCUUCCAUAAGUACCCUAGUUGUCACCAUUAUUUUAUUUUAAUGUAAAGAAACUUUUUAUUACUUAACCAAAAAAAAGUUUUCAUUUGUUUUUAUUUAACCACGUGGACGAUAUGUGAUUUUAGAAAGAAAAAAAAUAUUUGAAGCAAUUUGGCAAUAAACAAAUAUGCAAUUUAGUGUGGACCGUGUCAAAGGGAAAUAGAAAAAGUAUAUAGUUGUUCUUCCGGCCUUCGUUAUGAUUGAGUUGUCUCCAUGUAGAAAGUUUACACAUAAAUAAUGUUUUGAUUCUUACGAGUUUUUUUAUUUGGGAUCUUAGUUAUGUAAUCGAGUAUUGACACUUGGAGUACAAAUAUACUUGAGGAGGCUCGUAUAUAUAUAUCAAGUUCUCAAGCUUAAUUAGUAGUUUUGAUUUUAUAGAAAAUAAAAAUUUAAUUGAGAUCUUGAUUGUUCGAUCUUGAUUAAAAAGCCACAUAUCAUCUAAUUGCUUAUAAAUGACUAUAUGCAAUCUAAGUCAAUAUAAAUAUCUAAUGAGAUGAAAAAUAUAGCAUACAAAUAAAUGAUAUAACAUUGAAAAAAACAAACGUAGAGAAGAAAAAGUGAGAUACAUAACUCACAUUCUUUAAAGUAAAUACAUAACUAAAUUUCACAAGUGGACAUGAGUAUAAGAGAGAGAAAAAGUGAGAUAGGAACUUAAAAUGCUUUCAAGUGGUGCAUCUUGUAAAGAAGAGCUCGAGCUCAUAUAUUAUAGAAUGGUUUGACCCAACUUUUGAGGAGUUUGUCAUCUUCUUAGAAUGAGAAGUUGUGUCAAACAAAAUUUUGACUAAACUCUUUAAUUAAAAAAGGCCUUUUUUUUUUUUAAAAGAAGAAAAUUUUGUACAGAAGAAAAAUAAGGAAAAAGAACUUUAAGAAGGAGAUGAAAAUUACUUUUACAAUGCAUGGCCAACUUAUUUUCCCUACUCCCCUCUUCAAAUCCUAAUUUUUCUUUCUAACGUUGUCUCUUGCGGUUGAAUUGAUUUUAUUUUUUUUUUUACUUUUUUUUUUUUUUUUACGGCAUGUGCUCUUCUAUUGCUAUGUAUUAUUUUCUGGCUUUUUUUCUUUACAAUAUUUUUCGGUUAAUUGCUAUAAUUUUUCGGCAUGUGCUCAUCUAUUGAGUUAUUACAAUAUUCACAAAUUGGUUAUAAAAAAAAAAAUACUAUUCAUAAUAGAUUCCUUUAUGUAAUCUGUUUAUUUGAAACUGUAACAUCAUUGUAACCAAAAAAAAAAAAAAACUGUAUCAUCAUGCAAUAAUUAUUUACAGGGAAUUGGAGCUGUUGUGGGAGUCUUGUCUCAAGGAAGCUACAUUUCUAUAUAUAACCAUUCUUAUGCUCAUCAAGUUAGUUCUUGAUCAAUUGUUGGCAUGAUAUUUUAAUCUUUACUAGCUCUCUAACCCUUCUUGAUUUGAUCUAAUACUAAUUUGAGGGUUCUUGGCUUGAAGCCUUUUAAUGGCUGACCCACAAAAUUCGAUAAAAAAUUGAAUGGUUAACACAAUUAAAAUAUGUGGUAUGGUUAAUUACGUUCAGUGAUGGUUAAUGAAUCUAAAAAGUUGCCGCAACUCGUUUAUCAUCCAUUGCAUGCAAUUAACUACGAUUUUGAGCACUAUUAACCAUAAUUGUAGUUUAGCUUUCCUUUUUUUACUUUUGGUUUAGUCACAAGACAAACCUAAGGUAUUUUUCCAACACUUGAUGAGGAUCUCCUUCUGUCUUUUACAAGAAGGAUCCAAUUCUUGAAUUUCCUUCAGUUUUUGGCAAGACAUGCUUUUAUUAUGCUAGAGGAGAUAUCACCAUCUCCAUAUGAAGAAAACAUUGUUGAUGAACGAUAUCCUUUCAUGUCACUUCUUUUGAAUGGCAAGCACAUUUUUGUAUAUGGUCACUACUUACAACAUUGUACCUAAGACCAACUACUCAUUGAACCUUGGAGCUGCUGCAAGUGUUUGUGGUGUCAUCAACGGAUCAAUGACUAUUGCACAUGUUUUUGCUUCUAUUUAUUUUAGUGUGUGAUCGAACUGAUUGUGUCUAAGACCUAUCAUAUUCAGUGCCAUUGUUCUUCUAAUUGUAAACAUGAUGUAUGCAAUGGCCUAUGAUCUCAACUCAGUAGUAGUUCUUCUUAUGGGACGUAUUUUCUGCGUGUAAGUAAAGAUACACUUAAUACUCACAAGUUUCAUACUUUCCAUAAAUUUUUUAUUACAUGAUUACAAUGUUUUUGUUCUUAUCUUCUUAGUAAAGCAUUCUUGAUAUGUACGCACAUAUUCAGGAACAUGUUUAUCAAUUACUUUGCAAGAAAUUUCAUUUUUGAACUUUCCAACUAGGUUACAAUUAGCAUGUCAAAAAAACAUCUUAAAGGUGAAAAAUGUAUUAAACAUCGCACAAAUAAAAAAAAACAUCGUCACUUUAUGAAAAAUGUAUUUUCAAUUCCAUAAGAAUUUCGGUUAAGAUUUUGAUGUUUCAACAUCACUUAUUCAUCUUAAAGGUGAAUUUCUCUAGCCAUUAGGCUAUUUGACAAAAAAAAAAAAACAUAAUAAAUAAAAUAAUUAAGUGAUUUAGAUGUGAAACUAAUUUUCAUACUAAUUUUCAUUCAAAUUAACAAGUGUUUUCACUUCGAAAUUUUAGUUUUCCGGAGUGUAUUAUGACGUAAAAAUCACAAAUCAAUCGUAAUAAAAUUACAAACUAAAUCGACAACUUUAGUUUCCCGAAGCAUUCUAAGGAGUAACGAGUAAUGAAAUGGAGGAAUAAGAUGAAUUAACACGUGAGCACGUCAAUCACGAUAACGAUGACGAUAACACUGACACAUCCUAUGGAAAUUAAAAUUGUUGCAUGUUGAUUCGUCACACAAUGAAAGAACAACAACAAAAUAACAAAGACAAUUACAAUGUUGGAUUUGGGACUUCAAUUACAAGGUCCUGUGUUUUACGCGAAAAAACUUUCGCACCAUGUAGCACGACUCUUGCAAAUAUAACGGAAGCAGAGAGGUGUGUGGUUUUGAUUUUGAAUGCUUAACUAACGUGAGUUUUUGGGUGAUUCAUUUAAACCUAUGUUUUUACUGGAAUAAAAACACUAUUAUUUCUUUUGUUAAAUAAGUUAGUCGGUUUAUUUUUGCUUAUCAAAAUGAUACAUCUUCUACUUCCAUCAUCUUCGCAUACAAUCAUAGUUCAAAAAACUUAAAAAUUAAACUUCACUUGAAGCUAAAACACCCAAUUAAUUUUCAAAUUAUAUUCAAUGACGGUUGAGAUUCUUGCUCAUAAAUUACACAAUAAUUAAAUUUGAAUCUAUAACUUAACAAGAUAAUUGAGUUACAGAAGGAAAAUUCAACACAUGGAUAUUGUUGGUAAUCGAUUAUGCUCUAAGCAAGGCACACUGAACUUUCAUUGUUCUAAUCAAAUCUUUAUUGCUUAUCAAUUCCCUUUCUCUUUAUAGAUUACAAGUGAAUUACAACGGUUUGAUUCAAUGUGACUUUGAACCAACUAUCUAUACUAAUAGACAUAGUAACUAGACCAACAACCUAUAGAAAUAAUUAUCUAUUCUAACAAACUGAACAGAAAUCAGUUAAGGUUAUGUUGACAGAACCAAUAUGACACAAAUCAAAACCUUGAUUCAUAAACAAUCUUAGAAAUUACGGCCAAAACACAUUCCCUAAGGUCUCAAUCUUCCUUCAGAUUAAUCAAAUUCAAGCAAUGGAAGAACUUGCUUCUUGGAAUAGCCUUUGUGAUCAUAUCAGAAGCAUUAUGAUAAAUUUGAAAUCUUCUUAACAAUAGCUGAUCCUUUCCAAUCAUAUAUAAAGGUUUAUGACAGUGUGGUUUGUCCUCUCAUGGUAUGUUUGACUUUUGGAUCAAUGAAUAUAACACUUUGGCUAUCACAAUAUACAAUAAUGACCUGAUCUUGCAACCUCAAUUCCUCAGAAAUCCCUUCAAGACAUAGAGCCUCUUUAAUAGUUUCAGUCAAGGACUCAAGGCAAUAUAUUUUGCCUUAUUAGUUAACAAAGGUACAACCUUAUGCAAAUCCGCUUUUCAACUAAUGGUAGUGCCAAAUGCAGUAAAGAUGGAUCCACUUCGAGACUUUCUAGUGCCUAGACAGACUUCAUAAUCAGAGUUUACAAACCCUCUAUGGCAAUUUAUCUUCUUCCAUCCCUGGCUUCACCAUAAAUUAGAAUCAUGCGAAGAUAUCUUUUGAUCUUAUAGCAUCCAUUUCAGUGCUUGCUACUGUGAACAUUCAGGAUUUGACAUGAAUAUGCUAACCAAGCUUACUGCAUGAGCUAUAUCUGGUCUAGUGCAAACCAUUGCAUACAUCAAUGACCCUAGCUAUAACACUUGAUUAAGGGAUGUUGUCCAUAUUAUUAACAUAUAUUUUACAUGCAAUUAGUAAAUUUGGUUAUGGAUCUCAAUUGAGUUGAUUUCAAGAAUGAUAUUGCUUUCUCUUGGGUCUUUUGCACAUGGAUAAAGUUGAACUAAGAAGUAAGGAAACAUUUUUUAAAACACAUUAUUAUUAAUAAAAGUGAGAGUUACAAUUUGAAUACAAUAUCAAAGCAUAACAAGAUAUAAAACUGUGGAUCUAGUUACAAUAUCAUUAACAUAAAGAAUCAUAUAUAAUUCAUUAAUUCAAAAAAUUCAAACAAAUAUAGCAAUAUAUAUUGCCAAGAGGUUAACACAAACUUCUGUAUUAAUAACAAUAUAAAACUUCCUAAGUCUCUCAUGCAAAGAUGACUGCAAUUGCAACCAUGAUUGCCAUGACAACUCCAAACAGAGAUGAAACAACAGAGUGAGCAUCAGAAGAAGGUGGUGGAGAAGGAGCAGGUGCACCUUCGGCUAGAACAGUGAUGACCAACUUCAUUUGACGAGCCGAACAGUGAUCAGCAACUCCACAAACAUACCACUUUCUUCCUUCAGUUUUUAGUUGAAUGAUAUCCUUUCCGGUAGAAAGUGCUUCGUUUUUUGGUGGAAAAGUGCAGCUCUGGAAGAGUGUGCCAUUCACUUUAAAAACAUUGUGCCUUGAAGGGUCAUAGUUGAAAACUAAAAAAGAGAUAAAAUAAAAUUAGAUCAUGUUUGAUAAAUACAAAAGUUAAUUAUAACUAUGAGAUACACUAAUUAGUUAAGCAAUUGACUAUGAACUAAAUAAACUUGAAACCAAAUGGACAUUUAUUUUUUCCUUUUACAUACCUAGGUUGUCUCCAACACGAAAAACUUUGUCUUGAGCCCAUUGAGUGUAAUCAAAAUCAACGGUCCAACCCUUGUCAUCACCAACAAUAUAAUCAGUUGCAGCAAUUGCAACUGAUGAAAGUAAAACCAUGGAAAUGGAAAGGAUCAAAACUACACGAGAAGAAGCCAUUUGAUCAAAAUUUGAGUUUGGAAAAUAUUUCUCUCUAAUUGUAGAAAUUAACUUAAAAAAAUGAGUGUCAAGAUUUUUUUUUCUCCCUAGAAUAUAAAAUCUCAAUCAAAAGAAUAGCUAGCUAGCAAAUGCUGCGCAAAUAUUUGUUUUGAUUUUGAUGAAUUGUGCAAUUCUUAUAUAGAUGUGUGUAUAUAGAUUUUAUCGACACGACAAUAAUAGAGUAUAUGUAUGCUAUUAUAUUCGGCUACCGGAUUUGGUCGGCUUUUACUAAGACGAGGUUGAAUUUCCACAACUAAUUAUAUUAUUACUUGAACAAAAAAAAAAAUAUUCUUUUGUUUUUAUUUAACCACGUGGACUAUCUGUGAGUCUGCAAAAAAAAUUAUUUGAAGCGAUUUGGCAAAUAAACAAAUAUGUAAUUUUAGAGAGUGGAACGUGUCAAAGGGAAAUAGAAAAAGUAUAGUUCCUCCUCCGGCCUUCAUUAUAAUUGAGUUGUCUCCAUAUACAAAUACUUGAGGAGGCUCGAAUAUCAAGUACUCAAGCUUAAUUAGUAGUUUUGAUUUUAUAGAAAAUAAAAAAUUGUUUAAGAUCUUGAUUUUCCAAUCUCGAUUAGAAGGCCACAUAUCUAAACAAAGACAUCAGGUCUCAAAAAAUUUGGUCGAAAAAUGCCUUAGAAAAAUUAAUUUGGAUAUAAUAUAUAAUAUUGUAAAUAAAUUAUUGAUAUUUGUAUAGCUUAAUUGGUACUGAAAAGGCCUAAAAUACCCUUGGUCAUGCCUUAGAAAAAUUUAUUUUUUCUAAUGUUUUUAUAAGUAUUUUGUUAAAAGAAAUAUUUUAAAAGGUCUUAUUAAAUUUUUUGCUUUGGACCUCUUAAAAUAUUUGGACUGGUCCUACUAUCACACUCUUCAAAGUAAAUAGAUAACUAUAUAUUUCAAGCUGAGCUUGGUAACACAAGUUUAUGACGUAAAUAGGGACAUUAAGAUGUUAAAAGGUUUUUGACGUGUGAAGAAGAAAAAAGAAGAUAAUUAUAUUUCAAAAGAGAAAAAGGGAUAUAUAUAUAUAUAUAUAUAUAUAUAUAUAUAUAUAUAUAUAUAUAUAUAUAUAUAUAUAUAUAUAUGAAAUGUUAAGGUAUUAUAAAAAAAAUAUUUAUCUUAAAAAUUGUGUAUUUUACAUUUUAAAAUUUAAAAAAAAAUGUUUUUUUUUAACAUAAAUGCUUAAUAUUGCAAAAUUGUACAUCACGACUAUUUCACAAAAUUACAUUGCUUCGACUUGUAUUGUUUAAUUAAUUUAAUUUCUUUCUUAGAUGAUGAGUUUGGUAUCCAAAGUUAACUCUCAGCUUAAUUCCAUGAGACCACGACCACUUCAACUUGGUAUUCAUGAUUUCAUGGCAUGCAAAACUGGUAUCAACUCAUUGACCAUGAUUUCAUGUGACGGUGCGGUGGCUUUUUCUUUUUAAGGCAUACAUAGUCUUUUUUGUCUAUAUCUAGUUAUAAUUGCAGUAUAGGAAACAAAGAAAGAUAUAUAUAACCAUUCCAAAAGCUUAAAUGAAAGGAUUGAAAUAUAACAAAAAAAAACUCGCGAGAUAUAGCAAGGCUCUUUUUUUAAUAUUAACUUUGUCUUUUCUUUCCAUUUUUAAGAGAAAUUUAGGUCAACAAAAGUGAAUGUAUUUGGACUGAAUUUUUAAAUAGAUACAUCAACUUUUGUUGACCCAAAAUUCUCUUAUAAAUAGGACCGGAGCUAAUCCUAAUAAAAUCCCAGGGAUGGAACUCAAUUACUUUUUCUUAUUUUUAUUUUAAAAGAGGCUUUACUAAAAUACAUGUGAAAUAACCUCUUAUUGAUGAGUUCUUGAUAUGUGGAUGAAAUUAUCAUUCAACAAGCUAUACGUACAAGGAGAGUGCAUAAUAUACAGCAAAGAGGCAUGCACAGAAAGCGUGUGAGGCCUACAUUUGAUGCUAGAAAAAACUUGCUUCCUCUGUUGUAGCCAAGGGAAUGUUUUGGCCUUUUCAAUGUAGUUUGUUGACUUUUCAAUGCUGCUAGUCAGUCAGGUGAAUACAUGUUUGGAUUCACGGUACCUUAAUGUAAUUUUAUACUAUAAUCAGGGCCGUCCACUUGAAAUAGGAGGUUAGGCUCUCUUUUUAAAAUAGGUUCGUUCAUAGUGAAAUAAAACGUAAUUUUUUUUGUGUAGUUAAAUUUUAUUAAAAAAAAAUCAGAAUCAGAAGAAGUUCUAAACAUGAAUGGAAUUAAAAAAAAAAUAAGUGAAAGAGGUGAAAUUUAUCUAACGGUGUCGUUUGGAUUUGUCACUCCUCUGUUGUAGAAAAUGGUAAAACGAAUGGUUUAUGCGAAGAAAAAAAUGAUUAUUGUGAUUCUUUCAAUGAAAUAACUUUUCAAAUUGACUUAAUUAAGUGAUUAUACAAAUUAGGGGUAGUUUGAUAGGAUCCGAUUUAUGUACAAAAACAAGAACUAGAGUCUAGAAAAAAACUCAAACGUGUAUUAAAGAAAGAAAAGGAUAUAACAUAUAUAUUUUUUAUUUAAGUGGGGUGGUUAUUAGAUUUAAUUUUUCGUUAGAGGACCGUAAUAUUUGGAGACCCGGCCUGGUUGAGCACCAUGCUCACCCUCGAGGCCGGGCCUGACUAUAAUAGAAACAUAUUAUUGUGUACCUUUUAAAAGUACAAUAAAUUUCAAGUUAACUUUGCUUGCUCUUGAGUUUCAGAUAGAAAAAUUGUUUUACUUUUGCUUGAGCAACAAAGAGUACUUGCUUAGAGGCUGUCGCAUAUUGGAAAAGAUCACCAAAAUCUUCUAUAGCAACCAGAUAACUCAAAGAUAUCUGAAAUCCAAGAAGCUACUGGUUUGAGAAAGAUGUUGAAGAAGUUUGAUAAGCGGUUCGGCUAUACAUUCACCGACUAUCAUGUCAAGACACACGCAAAUCAUCUUUACUCUCAUGUAAGACAGGUUUGUGAUAAUGUUUCUAACCCUGACUAUAUCAUGUUUAAUGUUACAAUACUAAUGUUACAAAAUAUAAGAUAAUAUUUUUGUAAUAGAUUCCUUUUAUGUAAUCUUUGUUGUGGGAGUCUUGUCUCAUAAUCUUGCAUGCCUUCAUGAUUUACAGAAAUGUCAAGGAAGCUACAUUUCUAUAUAUAACCAACCUUCUUAUGCUCAUCAAGUUAGUUCUUGAUCCAUUAUUUACAUGAUACUUUUAAUCUUUACUAGCUCUCUAAUCAUUCUUGUGUUUGAUCUAAUGCUAAUUUGAGUAUUCCUGCCUUUUAAUGGUUGACACAAAAAAAUUCGACAAAUAAUUGAAUGGUUAACACAAUUAAAUUAUGUGUUAUGGUUAAUUACGUUUAAUGGAUGGUUAAUGAAUAUAUAAAGGUGUCGCAACUCAUUUAUCAUCAAUUGCACGUAAUUAACUACAAUUUUGAGCACUAUUAACCAUAAUUGUAAUUUAGCUUAAUUUUUUUUUACUUUUGGUUCACUCAUGAGACAAACCUAAGGUAUUCUUCCAACACUUGAUGAGGAUCUCCUUAUGUCUUUUACUUGAAGGAUCAAAUUCUUGAAUUUCCUUCGGUUUUUGGGGAGACAUGCAUGCUUUUAUUUUGCUACAAGAGGAGAUAUCACCAUCUCCAUCUAAAGAAAACAUUGUUGAUGAAAUAUAUCAUUUCAUGUCACUUCUUUUGAACUUGGCAAGCACAUUUUUGUAUAUGGUCGCUACUUACAUCAUUGUACCUAUGACCGGAAACUACUCAUUGAACCUUGGAGCUGCUGCAAGUGUUUGUGGUGUUGUCGUCGGAUCAAUGGCUAUUGCACAAGUUUUUGCUUCUGUUUAUUUCAGUAUGUGGUCGAACCGAUCGUGUCUAAGACUUAUCAUAUUCAGUGUUAUUGUUCAUCUAAUUGUAAACAUCAAGUAUGCAAUGGCCUAUCAUCUCAACUCAGUAGUAGUUCUUCUUAUGGGACGCCUUUUCUGCGAGUAAGUAAAAUACACAUAAUACUCUCAAGUAUCAUACUUUCAAUAAAAAUUUCAUGACAUGACUAUGAUGUUUUUAUUUUUAUCUUCUUAGUAAAACAAAUAUGGUAUGUACGCACGUAUUCAGAAAUGUGUUUAUGAAUUACUUUGCAACAAAUUACAUGUUUGAACUUUACAAUUAGGUUACAGUUAGCAUGACAUUGUGGAAGAGAUACAACACAUGUUCAUGAAGGUGAGAAAAAACACAAGACGGAGGGUUGAAUUGUGUUGGCUUUUUCUUCUUUUUCUCCUAACUGAAAACACAGAUCAGAAGCGGAUAGAGUUAUACUUUUGAAUAGAUGUUCAGAACUAAUUGUAGUGGAUAAAAACAGAGCGAGAGAAGAAAGACACAAGCAAUUUAUACAGGUUCCUUCCACAAACCGGAAGUCAGUCAUGUCCCUCUUGCACUUCCAAGGAGAGUUCACUAUGUAAUAUCUGAUUACAAUUGCUCACUACUAAACUUAGUAAGAGACUUCAAAUGCUCAAGCACAACUGCAAGAGACUUCCUAUGCUCCUGAACACAAUCAAGAGACUUCUAUUGCUCAAGCACAAUUGCAAGAGACUUCUCAAUUCAAACAGAAUUAUAAGAAAAAUGUUUGAGGUUGAACACUUAUAUACAAUCAGUGGUGUUCACAAUACAAAUCAGAUACAGACUCUAAAGACACUAGAAUUUCUAAGAUAUAAGCUUUGAUAAGAAAUUCUAAGUGAACUUUGAAUGCAGAACAAUUUCAGUAGAGUUUCAGCUCAGUAGAGUUGCAGCCAUUAAAACUCUUUCGGAGAGUUUGCCGUCCAUUUGGGUCCCACAAGAUCCGAUAGAUUAGUCUUAGUUGCGUAUGGAGGAUAUCUGGUUUAUGCAAAAAAAAAAAAAAAAAAAAAAAGAGAUUGUUAAUAAAAGAAAGCUAAUAAAAGAAAACACAUUGCUCAUAUUAUAACACGUAAUUUUUGGUGGUGAUAUAACCCGUCAUUUGUUAAAUAAAUUAUUAAUAUAUACCUAAAAUAUGAAUUUAAAUAGGGUCUCGCGAAUGAACAGUGAGAUUGUACCCUUCAGGUUAAUCCGUCAUUGGAUCAGAUAUCGAAUUUAAAAAUAAAAACUACUUAGAAUAUAAAUAAAAUAAAUCUUAGUUAUCUUUAUUGGAAAAAUUAUCAAAAAUGAAUGGUCAGAAUGAAAAUAAUGAGAACAUGUAGGCAAACAAAAUUAUUUCCUUAUAAAUAUAUGCAAACAAAAUUAUUUCCUUGUAAAUAUAUGAAAUUGAUUAAAAUAAAUAACUUAAUCAAAUAAUCAUCUAGAAUUUCCUCUACCAAUUUAAUAUUUACAAAAUGAAUGAAUUACCAAUUAAAUUUGACAAAAUCUAUGCUAAUGAAAUAUAAUUUAAAAUGAAAUUUAAUGAAUGAGAAACGAAUAAAUAGUUUGAAAAAAAGGAUAAAACUCGUGUGAAUUUCAUUAUAUGUUUUUCAUAUGAUUCUUAGGUAAAAAUACAUUUUUAAUGAGUAGUUUAUUUCGGAACCAUACGAAAAACAUCUAAGAAAAUGCACCAAGUUUUUUGAUAGAAUUAAAUAAGGAUAAAACUUAGGUGCAUUUUCUUAAAUACUUUUCGUGUGGUACUUUAUAUAAAAUACUCACAACUACCUAUGAUUUUUCCAAUCCACAAUUUUUUCAACAUUUGUUAUAACCACAAAAAAUGAAUUUUAAUUAUGUGAGGAACCAUACGAAAAACAUGUAAGGAAAAUGGACCGAAGUUUUGUCCUUAUAAUUAAGGAUAUUUUUUGAAUGACAAAUAUCAACAAUUAGUUGUUAAAAAAGGACACAAAGUAUAUAAAUGAAUAAAAAAAAAUCAAAUGAAUAUAAUAUAAUAGUAGACUUAUGAAGGGGAAAAAUAAUAGUAAUAGUAGCAGUAAAUAGGGAUGCAAAAAAAAUAUAUAUGCAUGAUAUUCAUAGAUAAAAUCGACCAUUGACACACAGUGAAUAGCUUAACAUGUACACAGAGAUAAAAUAAAUUAAUAUUUCAAGUAAUUUAAGUUAAUGGAUACAUAUGUAGAAGUAUUGGUAUCUCUAGACACAAUUUAUAAUGAUAAUUAAGACGUGUAAUUGUGUAGAGAUAUUUAUACUAUAUAAAACAUUGGUUUUUCACUUAAAAAAUUGUUAAUGUAUUAGUAUAGUACAUGUCCAUAAUAAUCAAAUUAUACAUUUAAAUAAUAUUUUUAGAAAAUAUAAAAAAUAAACUUAUUGGAUCCAAUUAUUUUGUAGUUAAAUUUAAAUCUAAAUAUGUUGCUAAAAAUUAAAAUGAUAAACAAUUAAACCCUAUUUAAAAAUUAGAAUACAAAGAAACUCUUUUGAAAUUUGGACGUGACUGAAAUUUGGUGCAUUUUGUUGAGAUAUUAAUUUUUGAUAGAUAAAAAGAAUAAGUUAAUUUUACAAAAUUAAAAAAUUACAUAAAUUAACAUGGAAGUGGUCACGUGCAUGAAAAAAUAAAAUAUAAUUUUUAAACAUUUCAAUAAAAUAUUUAGAUGUCACAUUGUGACAACUAGGGUACCCAUGGAAGAAUGGUGGGUAAUUUACCCCAACCAAUACACAUUAGCCACAUAAGCACAUUUUUAAGUGGUAUCCAUGAACUAUCUUGACCCCACCAACAAAUUGCUCAUUUUCAUUGGUUGGUGGGUAAAUUACCCAUCAUUCUUCAAAGGUAAUCUAGAAAAAACCUAAAACAUUUAGAUGUCACAUGUAUAAUAUAACAUAAAGCUUAACCGAAAAUUGAUCAAUUGAUGAUUCGGUUAAGCUUUAUGCAUUCGAUUAAUAGAAAAUAAUUUCUUUGACCACUUCAGUUUGCUUCAUCAGAAAAUUAGAUAAUAUAUGAGGUAAGACUCCAGUUUCAAUGAAUGAAAUUCAAAAUUAUAUACCUACACUACGGGGAGAUUAUCAUCACUACUAAAUCAUAUGACAUGUUUGCGUACGAAAUUUGACGAAUGCACAUGUUUUUUUUAUAUAUGUACAUGAAGUAAAAAUAACAAUAAAAAACUCACAAAAUUAUGAGGUUUUAGUUUCGAAUUUGAAUGAAAAGAUCCAAUCUAACAAUAUCGUCGUUUGUCAGGUUGAAUUGGGUCUUACGAACAAUAUGAUUGUGGAUCUCAAUUGAGUCGCUUUCUCUUGGGUCUUAUACAACAAUAUGGAUUAAGUUGAACUAAGAAGCAAGCAAACAUUUUGUAUAAUAAAUUAUUAAUGAAAGUUAGAGUUACAAUCUGAUUUGAAAGAACUCAUGCACAAACCAAAACAUAACAGGAUAUAAAAUUGAGGACCAAAUUACAAUGACAUUAACAUAAAUAACCAUAUAAUUCAUAAUUCAAAAAAUUCAAAUAAAUAUGGCAAUGUAUCUUGCCAAAAGAUUAACACAAAUACUUGUAUUAAUAACAAUAUAAAGCUUCCUAAGUCUCUCAUGCAAAGAUGACUGCAAUUGCAACCAUGAUUGCCAUGACAACUCCAAACAGAGAUGAAACAACAGAGUGAGCAUCAGAAGAAGGUGGUGGAGAAGGAGCAGGUGCACCUUCGGCUAGAACAGUGAUGACCAACUUCAUUUGACGAGCCGAACAGUGAUCAGCAACUCCACAAACAUACCACUUUCUUCCUUCUGUUUUUAGUUGAAUGAUAUCCUUUCCUGUAGAAAGUGCUUCAUUUUUUGGUGGAAAAGUGCAGCUUUGAAAGAGUGUGCCAUUUACUUUGAAAACAUUGUGCCUUGCCGGAUCAUAGUUGAAAACUAAAAAGAAGAAGAUGAAACAAAAUUAGUUCAUAUUAGAUUAAUACAUGUUCAUCUAAACAAAAGUUAAUUAUAAUCAUAAUAUGCACUAACUAGUUAUGCAGUUGAUUAUAAACUAAAUAAACUUGAAACCAAAUGAAAAUUUGUUUUUUCCCUUUUACAUACCUAAGUUGUCUCCAACACGGAAAACUUUGUCUUGAGCCCAUUGAGUGUAAUCAAAAUCAACGGUCCAACCCUUGUCAUCACCAACAAUGUGAUCAGUUGCAAUUGCAACUGAUGAAAGUAAAACCAUGGAAAUGGAAAGGAUCAAAACUACACGAGAAGAAGCCAUUUGAUCAAAAUUUGAUUUUGGAAAAUAUUUCUCUCUAAAUGUAGAAAUUAACUUUAAAAAAAUGAGUGUCAAAAUUUUAUUUCCUAGAAUAAAAUCUCAAUCAAAGGAAUAGCAAGUUAGCAAAUGUAAUUGUUUUGAUUUGAUUUGAUGAAUUGUGCAUAUCAACUUAGGCUAUAUAUAGUUGUCAUGUGUGGGUGUAUUGAUUUUAUCGUCACAACAAUAAUAGAAUAUUUGUUUGCUAUUAUAAACGGCUACCGGAUUUGGUCGGCUUUUUACUAAGACGAGGUUGAAUUUCCACAACUUAUUAUUUUUUUUUUUACCUUUUUGGAAUACACUUAUAUUAUUUUAUAUUAAUGUAAAGAAACUUUCUAUCACUUGAACAAAAAGAAAGUUUUCUUUUGUUUUUAUUUAACCACGUGGACAUACUUGUUUUUAUUUGGCAGUAAACAAGUAUGCAAUAUAGUGUGGACCGUGUCAAAGGGAAAUAGAAACAGUAUAUAUAGUUCCUCUUCCGGGCUUCGUUAUAAUUGAGUUGUCUCCAUGCAGAAAGUUUACACAUAAAUAAUGUUUGUUUCUUACGAGUUUCUUUAUUUGGAAAAUUAGAGAUGUAAUCGAGUAUUGACACUUGGAGUACAAAUACUUGAGGAGUCUCGAAUAUAUCAAGUUCUCAAGCUUAAAUUAGAGAUGUAAUCGAGUAUUGACCUUGUUUUGGCUCCCUAAGUGAAUUUUCUUGCCUUGCUUUCCUUAAACACUCUGACUUAUCUCUUUCCUUGCUCGCAUAUAUGCUCACUCGUUAAUUGAUACCCCAAGUCAUCUUUGAUCUUUUAAACCUACAAAUGUAAUGGAAAUAGGUCAUGGUAGCUACAAUGCUACUCAAAACCUAAUUAUCUAAUAUUUAUAACGAACUAGAGGAAUUUCAUGAAAUUUCUUUCAAACCAAAUUUAAUGGAGUUUAGAAAAUUUGGCACGUAUCAAUUACCUUAGAAGUUAUGAUGUUUAAUGUUUGUAUAACUAAGGAGUAAGUGUAAAAGAUAUAUUAAAGAUGGGAGCACAAGAUCUACUAUAAUCGCAACAUUUCAAAUAGAUUAACCAACUCUUAAGCAACGCAUUGAGUUAGAAUACCAAUCAAAGAAGCGGUAUUGUAUCCUUCUAUAGCUCCUUAAAAACACAUCUCCCUCUCUCAUACUAAGCAAUGUGGAAUUUUUUGUUUGGUAUACUUUUUAAAGGAUAAAAGAAAGAAAAAAAUAGGACAUAUAUACUCAUAUCUUGUUUGCUACACUUGUAUUUUAUUAUUUGAAUUCAUUUUUAUUUAUUUGUUAUAGACGAUAUUUUUAUUGAAAGUCGAGGGCAAAUAUUGGAAAGAGAAAAAGUCAUCCUAAAAAAAAUCAAAACAUGCUAUUUUCUUUAAACAGUAUAGAUAUAGAUAAAUUAAAACUAUAUAUACAUUAGUGGCUUGUAACAAAGUCUUCCCUAAAAAAAAUGUAAAAACUCAACAAACAAUUAUUUUUUUAACGACAACAAUAAUAUAACAAAUGUACCAAAAUUCUUAUUUUUUUAGUAACAAUAUAAACAUAACAAUACUCACAAAUCUAUAUAUAUAUAGGCUCCUUCUACUGUACACCCAUAUAUUUGUAUGUAUCAAUACUCCAAACUAAAAUGGUCAAUAGUUUUUUGACAGCAUGGAACAAGUAAGUUUGAUUGGAUUAUAGAAUUAGCACCACCAAACUUGUGAGUUUUACACUUUGGGGCUUUUAUUUUAUGAUAUAAUUAAUUUUACUUUGAUUUAACAUAAAACAAGUUUAAAUUGUUACUUCUUCUUCUUCAUGGCAGUUCUUCUUCUUAAUCUCUUUCAUUGCAACCCUUGCUUGUAUGUGGGAAACUACAAGAACUAAUUUGACAGAUUUUAAUUGAACUUUGCUGUUAUUUUUUAUAGCAAAAAAGGGGAUAGCUAUCAAAAACACUCACCGCACUACAAAAAAGGGGAACAACAAGAAAAACAACACAAAACAAGAUAGAUUGAUAGCUAAUUAGAAGUAAUAGGUAAUUGGAUUGAUAAGAAAGAUGACCUCUUUAGCAAAGGAUUAUGGAUUAUGUUUAUGAAACAACAUUCCAAACAUCAAGUAUAAGAAAAAACAUAAAAUUGUACCAGUAAAAUACAAGAAAAAAAGGUCACGUAUAAGAAAGCCAUGCCAUCAAUUUUUUCAAUUAAAAUUCAGUAAGCAAAAUUAAUGGUGAGAAAGAAACGAAGGAACAGUACAUAGAUUAUGUUUUUGUUCUGUUUCCGGAAAGAAAAAGAGAAGAUUACGUUUGAGAAGAUGAAUGUUGGAGAGAAAAUUGCGAUGACCGUUAAUGAUUUGGUUUUGUUUUGAUUAAAAGAAUUAAUUAAUUAAUUUUCUAAAAUAGUAAUUUGUACAAUUUUUGGGGGUUAAAUUGAAUAGAAAAGUGUACCAAAACUCUUUCCCUCAAGUCAAUCCUUAAUAAUGUUGGCAUUGAUCAUUUAAUUGAAAUGGUUAUUAUUGGUUAAAUAUUUGAGAGUACCAAAACACUCAAUUUUGUUUAAAGUACCAUAAAAAUUGCCAUAUAUAUACCCUAGUCGAAUAACAAAAUUCAUCAAAUCAAAACAAUAACAUUUUCGAAGCAUUUGCUAGCUAGCAAUUCUUUUCAUUGAGAUUCAUUCUAGGAACAUUUUCCCCGACACAUAUUUUACAUUUAAUUUCCAUACUUAGGAGAGAAAUAUAUUUCAAACCUAAAUUUUGAUCAAAUGGGCUUCUCGUGUGUUCUUGAUCCUAGCUAUUUCAAUGGUUUUAUUUUCCUCAGUUGCAAUGGCUACUGACACUACUAAAAAAACAAAAAUUAAUAAGGGAUACUUAGUGAGGGAAAACAUGAAAUUCCUCUCUAAUUCCGUCACUAAAUUUUACGACCAAAGAAUUUGUGAGGAAUUUCAUUUUUUGGUCACUAAUUUCCCUCGCUAAUUUUGUUUUUUCUAGUAGUGUGAUCAUAUUGUGGGUGAUGACAAUGGCUGGACUAUUAACUUCAAUUACACUCAAUGGGCGUAAGACAAAGUUUUUCGUGUUGGUGACAAUCUUGGUAUGUAAAAGGAUAAUACGAUUUUCCAUUUGGUUUAAAGUUUAUUUAGUUCAUACUCGAUUACUAAAUUCAUUAUUGUAUAUCAUAAUUUUAACUUUUAUAGAUGAACUGGUAUUAAUCUAAUACGAACUAAUUACGUUUUAUCUUCUUUAUUUUUAGUUUUCAACUAUGACCCUUCAAGACACAAUGUUUUCAAAGUGAACGGCACAUUCUUUCAGAGAUGCACUUUUCCACCACAAAACGAAGCACUUUCUACCGGAAAGGAUAUUAUUCCCCUAAAGACUGAAGAAACAAAGUGGUAUGUUUGUGGCAUAGCUGAUAACUGUUCUGCUCGUCACAUGAAGUUCAUCAUCACUGUUCUAGCAGAAAGUGCCCCUGCUCCUUCUCUUCCACCUUCUUCUGAUGCUCAUUCUGUUGUUUCAUCUGUGUUUGGAGUUGUCAUGGCAACCAUGGUUGCAAUUGCAGUCAUCUUUGCAUGACUUAGGAAGCUUUAUAUUGUUUUUAAUACAAGAGUUUGUGUUAACCUCUUGGCAAUUUUUUUAAUUAAUGAUGUUUCUUUAUUUUAAUGAUAUUGUAAUUAGAUCUUCAAUUUUAUAUUUCCUUAUGCUUUAACUUGUUCUUGAUUUUUUUUAUUUGAAAUUUUUGCAUCUGUCACAAGAAUUGUACUUCAAAAAGGUCCUUGACAGGUUUGGAAUGUUAAAUUUUAAACUUGUAGCAACACUUAUAUCUCAGCAAUUCAAGUUAGGUGUAAACAAGUAUGCAAUAUUGAGACCUUAUAGCCGUAAUUUCUAAGAUUGUUUAUGAAUCAAGAGAAUGAAAUAAUUCAAGAGAACAACUAUAAACUUAUCAUUAUUCUGAUUGGGAACUUUCACAUUAUAAACUUGGAGGUUUCUAUAUUAAUAUGUAUGAUUUCCCCUUGUGGUGUAAACCAUUACUACCUCUUUUGAACUAUAACUAUCAGUGAAACAAUGUGAAAAAUUCUUUGCGAUGUUUUAGCUUCAAGUUAAGUGUAUCGUAGAGUAUGAUAGUUCUGAAAGCAAAAAACAUUUAAAUUUUUAGUUUUAAUCAAAAUCAAAAUUUCAUAAAAAAAAAAAAAAAACAACACAUUUUCAAACGUUAGUGCAAUAAAAACGUGUCCAUCUUUUCGCUAGUUAUGAAGAGAAUAUGGGAUUUUGUGUUGCCUUUUUUGUUAUUCCAACUAUAUCCUUAAACAAAUUUUUUCUAUAAUAAUGUUAUAUUGUUGUUGUCAUUUAGAAAGAUAAAUAUGGUUUGUUACAUUUGAAAUUCAUAAAUAUUUAUAUUUAUAAUUUUAAUUUAUGUAAAAUAUAUAUAUAUAUAUAUAUAUAUAUAUAUAUAUAUAAAAUAUCGUUUAAAAUUUACAUGCAAAAUUUUCUAUAAAUUAUCGUUGAUAAUCUACACACAUCAAUAAAAAAUUAACAAAAACAAAAAGAAUUUUAUAUUAUAUUAAAAAUUAAUUUAUUAAAACUAGAUUUUUUUUAUUUGAAGUAAGAAAUUAAAAUAUUUAAAAGUAAAGUUAUCAUUAAAAAUUACAAAAAUAUGAACAUUUAUAUAUAUUUUGAACAAAUAACUUGAUCAGGUAAAAUAUGGUUAUUGUGUUCGUUAUCAUGUUCCGCUGUAAAUGGAUUGGGAAGGGCUAAUUUUGCCUAGAUAUGGAAACCAAGCCUUGUAGAGGACUCUUGAUUUGGUUAUAGUUUAAAAAAAGUCUAAUGUUGCUUUGGAUGAGAUUAAAAUAGUCAAAAUAAGUUACCUCUAAAAAAAUUGAGCAUAUUUUGCUCCCUCAAAUAUUUUUCAUCACAAUUUGGUUUGUAAGUCAACUCACACGCAUCCUUCAUAUUUUUAAAUAAAUUUUUAUAGAGAUGUUUAAAAACAUUAUAAAAAUUUCUCCUAACAAAUUUAAAAUUUUAAUUUAACAAAAAUAUUUUUAAGCGUUAAAAGCUUAAAAAUUUAUAUGUAAUUUAUCCCUUGUUAAAAAAUUAAAAUUUUAGAUGACACUUUUAUAAUAUACGAAACAUAAGUUUAUAAUGUAAUUCAAAAUCUCAAAGAAUACACAUGCGUUUACUAAAAGCGGGACCAAAAGUCAUGAUGAAACUAUAUAUAUGUGCUCUUAGGAUACACGUUAACAUGACCCUAACUAUAAUCCCCGUUAUAGUUGCCAAAUCGUGAAAAAAUGAAGAAAAAAAAAGGUUGGGUAAAUUUCUAAAAUAUAAAAAUGAACAAAAAUGGGUUGAGAGAAGGCAAUAAGCAACAACAAUAGACAAUAAAAAAAACAAUGAGAGAAUGAUGUCAAUCAUCAAAUCUACGUUGAGUAAUGGAACGAUUAAAAAAAAAAUUAGAUGGUACCUUGAAGAGAAUAGUGAAAUUCAAAAUCCAAAUAGCAAACACUUGAUGAACACCUCAAAGAUCGUGGGUUUUAAUAGAAGAUCGUGGAGUGGGAAUAUUUUCUCAAGUGUUUGUGGUGUAUUUUCUCAAGUGUUUGAGUGAACCAAAGUCCAGAAUGAGAGCACUUGAUAUGUAUCUUUCUUUCUUUCUCAAGUGUUUGUGAUGUAUUUUCUCUUUUUGAUAUAGGGAAUCGAUUCUCUCACGUGAAAUUCUCUCGUUAUUAAGUUUAACUAUUCAUCGUACUCCAUAAAACAAUUCCACUUGUUAUUAAAAAGCAUGUCUUUAGUUUACCUGAUAAUUUACAUAAUUUAUUUAUUAGAAAGAAGAAAAAAAUUAAUUAAAGUGUUUUUUUCUUCCACCAUUAAUCAAAAUACUUGAAUUUUGUUUUCCCAAAGUACAAAAAGAACAAUAAAAGUGAGAUACAUCCUCGUUCAUUAACAACACAUUGUUUAAAACUCUUUUUGACCUACACUCAUUUAUCUUGAUAUAUAUCCUUCUAAUAUAUUUUUUUAUACAAAAAAAUAAUAAUUUUUAGUUAUUGAAUAAGUUGUAGAAUCCGUCUCUAUGAGCUUAGCUCAAUUGGUAUAAUGAACAUUUCAUUAUAUAUACGUGGAUCUGGGUUCGAACCCCACACAUCUUACUCAUUCGUUAACUUAAUUUCAUAUAACAAUUUCGUUCUUUAUCUUUUUUACGUCAUUUUUUUUUUUGUCAGUUUACAUGAGUUUUCAAACAUCAAAUGUAAAAUUCAUAUGAAAACAUGAACGAAUGAUCGUAUAUUUGAGCACAAAGAGCUCAAAUUGAAAUAUAUAAAACAGCAGAUUUGAAUCUUGAAAAUUCAUAUACAAAUUGAUCAAAAUGACGUGAAAAAAAAUAUGUAUAUGGUAAAAUUAUUAACUGAAAUUAAGUUAAAAGAGUUGAAUAAUUUUGUCACAAAUUUUUUUUUUCAAGUCUUCGGAGACUAAGCCAAAAUGGAUGAUUAUCAAAUUGGCGCAGUAGUAAAUUGCAAAGUGCAAAACAGGGCACCCCACAAAUGAGUACGAUAAAAAAAAAAAAAAAAAAAAAAUCAGGAUAUCUUCUGUGAUCGAGAAAAGGUUCUUACAAGUGAAGGAGGCUUCCACCCUUGCCACACCUAUACUUGAGGUUCAACUGCGUGAACUCAAAGACAUAGUCAGAAUUUAAGUAGUUCCAAACUCCCUCUUCGUCAACCUAAAUUUUAAAAGUUAUACUAAUCUUCUCAACAACAAAAAAAAUCCUCACUCCACAAUCAAGCAUACAUAUGCAAUAUCACUUACAAACUAUCAACGAUUAAUAAAGAGAAUUGAUAAACCUUUUAGGUCCUGCUACGUUUAGGAUUGAAAAAGAUGCAAAAUCUAAAUGACAUUACCGGUCAAAUCAAGUGCUGUUAACCAAUUACGAUCUCCGAAUUGACAUAUGCAAUUUAGAAAUUAAAUCAGAAUAUCCAUACAAAGUUUGUAAGUAAAUUGAAAGAACAUAGCAUAAAUUAAUGAUUGAAAACAACUAUAAUCUAUGAUCAAAGCACAUAUAUAGUUUUAUAAAAUGAUUUAGCAAGAUUCUCAAAAAUUGGGUGGCUCGGUAGACUCCUCUAAGUUCUAACACAAAUCGCAUCAUAUUUUCAAACAGCAAUCGAAGUCAAAAGAAAAUAUACAUAUGACAAGCCACAUGGUCAUGUCACACUUGGUUAUGACAUCGGGAAGGCAUAAAUGUCGUAUUGUACUCCCAUACCAGUCACCAUAAAGUAUAACCAGAUACGAAAAAAUAUGGUGAAGGUAAAUAUUACAGUACUCUGUCUGGACAAGUUGCACUUGGCUAAAGAAUAGUCCAUUCCAAAAUCAUGCAUCUCAUUCAAGCAAUGUUCUUCAGAAUAUAAAUUAAUCAUAAAUACAAAGAGAUUAUUCCAAAAUCACUCAUCUGUAGCUUCAUUAGAUGAGGUUGAGCAGCUCCCCCGAGAUAGGUUUUCUUCCCGGAGUGUCACGACAGAGCUAAAAUUAUCUAGUAAGCAUUCUUCAUACAUAACCAUGAGCUUCUUAGCUACCUAUUUAAAUCAUGAAUAAGUGGACAUUGUUAGCAUUCUUCAUACAUAAAAUAGAAAUCAUGAAUUUAAGAAAAUAGAAGAACCAAAAAUAAAACGAAGCCAAAAAUUCAUAAUAGGAAUAAGAGAUAAUUCUAAAGCAAUAUAAAAAAUGGAAAAAUGACAUAUACCUCUUGAGUGGUGGCAAAGGCAUUUUUAGCAAGAAUAGGGAGAGGAUACAGUUCGUUCCUGAUUAUCCAUUCUAUGUAAUCAAAAGAAACCGGCUCUUUUUCCAACAAAAAAAGGAAGAAGGAUAAAAUUAGAAUAGAUAAAAAAAAAAAAAAAAAAUCAAUUAAGUGAUUAAUUUAAUGUGCUUACUUAUGGUUUGAGUGAACCAAAAGAGGAUGUCUUCAGCAAGUUGUUGAAGCAUUAGGGAGGGAUUAGAGCCACAUUUGUUGUGAAUGAAGACAUGACGCACCCACAAAUCCUCCAUAAGCAAACCAACCCCUUCUUCAAAAACUCUGAUUGAGUUAGUAAGAUUAGAACAAUCAAUCUCGGAUGAAGAAUUAGCCUUCAAAUUAAAUAUACAAAAACUGUUAUUAUGAGGAAAGGAAAGGAAAGGGGGACACAGUAAUAACCAGGUAAGUUAAGGUCGAUUAUAUGUUACCUGGAUUAGAGAACAACUAACGUUGGCUUCCUGGAUGAUAUCACCAGAGGGAGUUGUUUCCAUUCCAUACUUUUUGAGGUAAGUUUCCAUUCCAAACUUAGUUACCUCUUCCUCAAAUGUCUCAAGGUAGGAGGGGGGAAUAUCACCAAGGCGAAUACUGAGAAGAAUAGAAUUCUUGAAUCUCUCUUUAAAAGAGGUGGAUUGGCUUAAAUCCUUAAGGUAGUCCUGCCAUAAACAAUCUUGCAGGUAAAGUAUGGUCUUCUUCUUUUUCUGAAUAGAGGGUAGGCUAUCUAUUUGAAACUUAUUUACUCGUUUCCGAUGAGCAUCGGCUUCCUUGAGAAUCUGAACAGAGCUAAAAUCAUGUUGUAAGCAUUCUUGGUACAUAGAGACUAGUUGAUCACACACCUACAAAAUAAGAGUAAAGAUUGAUUGCAAACACGGACGGUAAAAAAAAAAAAAUGAUUAUUGAAUCAAUAAAAAUAAGGGCACACACCUCUAGAAUGCUGUUAUCCUCAGGAGGAACAUUACUAAGGAAAGAAAUAAGUUGAAAUUUGAGUUGAAGUUUAAUAGUUGCUGAAGGCAGGUGUUUGGAUCGAAUGAAACGAGAAAAUAUGGUGUCACAAAGCCAUUCAACACAUCGCUCGGGGGACGACUCAUAGUCACAGAGGCUUUUGCGCCUAAUUUUCAAUCGAAUAACCCACCAAAAGUUGAUAGCCAAACUAAUCCCUUCCCUAAAUACUUUCAUUGAAUCCUCUUCUAAAUCCAUCUGAGAAUUAACAAUAGAAAAAAACACAUAAUUAAAAAGUAUAUUAAUAUUCUAUGCAUCGAUAUGAAAACAAACUUCAACGAUAGACAAGAACGAAAGCAAAGGGGUAUAUUACCUUAACUUCCAAAACAACGGAAUUGUCCAUAGCUGAUUAGAUGAAUGGGAACAAAUGAAUGAAUCGCGCACUCGAUUGGAACGAGAACGAUAACGAAAACGAGAAGCAGUUUAUCCCUAGGGUUUCCAGUUCUGCUUUUGCUACGGAUUCAUGGAUUUAUAUUUAGUUAGUAGUGUGCGGUUUGGUUCGUUUUGAGGUUAAAAGUCAUCUGAACGAUAAAAAACAUGCGGUUUGGUUUGGUUUUGUUGAUUUUUAAAAUUAAAUUCGAACCAAACCAAACCAAAUUAAUGUUGUUUGGAUUGGAUGUUCAGUGCAAUUUUUUUCAAGACAAUACAAUUAUUUGUUUCCAACAUUAAAAUCAAGUUAUUAAAAACCUAAAAAACAACAUGUUUCGAGUAAUGUUUCCCACAAUGUUUUAAAUUUUAUCCAACAAUGUUUUCAACUACAUAGACCAAAUUAAAAACAUGCACAAAAAAUAAUUCUAUUUUGUAACAAAUGCAAAAGAGUAUGAUUUUAUCAUUCUAUAAAAUUUUAAAUACAUUUUUGAAAUAAAAAGAAAAGAAGAAACUUUUUUUUUUUAAUCGGCAAAUAUUAUUAAACGCCAUCCCCGCAAUACGCAAGGUAUGGACGAAGCAAGAUACAAAUGGUUCUGUAUAUAGACGGUACACCAUAACCACCUAAAAACACCCCUGGAAAUAAACCCACCAAAACACAUCACCACCUAAACCUAAAACAGACUCCUUCAAAAAAAAAAAAAGCACUGUAAACACGGUGUCCAGAAGGUAAUAUAUUUUUUUCUACUUUUUCGAUGUUGUUUUAUGUUGUGGUGGUGGUGGUGAGGCGUGGGAGUGGUGGUGUUUCGGUUGAGGGAAGAGAAGGGUGUUUGUUGGGGGUGAUUUCCUUUGAAGGCAACCUCUGUUACUCGGGUCUAUGUUCGUCGUCACUAGCUCCUGUUUUGUGCUUUUUUGGGUGGUUUAGGUAUUUAGGGUGUUUGGAGGGAGCGGGUCCCGUUGUGUCGAGCCUUUUCCUUUCGAUAGGUUGGUUGUUUAAACUUUGCAUGCCAUGUCAUUCGUAUUACAUAUUGUGUGUUGGUUUCCGGUGGGCCGAUUACUUUUGCUUCGAGAUCGGUAGUCCGGGUCUAGUUGUAAUCUUUGUUUAGCUUGAUUUGGUUUUCUCUGGUGUACCGGGGGCGAGGGGUGCCCUGUUAAUUUGGUACUAAAGUCUGGUGAGACGAUCACUUUUGAUUCGAGAUCGGGAGUCAGUUCUUUGUCUCAAGUUCGUUUGUGGGCAUUUGUUUUGUGCUCUUUCGGUGGAUCGGAGGUCGCGAGGUUGUGAAAGCUACAUGAUCCUUCGGUCAGGUGCUCUUCGAAUUGUGGCUCAGCUUGGUUGUUGAGGUCUGAGAGUUUUCUUUUGAGGGUGUUCUUUGGGGGUGAGUAGAAAAGAAGAAACUUAACAAGAGAAAAAACAUGUCAUUUUAUAAAAGUUCACAUUGAGUUUCUAUGAAUUUUAGUAUAGAUGACAUAUGUUUAAAUUUAAUUAGUAUUUUUUUUUUUUAUGUUGCGGUUUGGUUUGGUUCGGUUGAGAAAAUAAAAACCACAAACCAAAUCAUGCGGUUAAGUAAAAAUAUGAUCUGAAUACAUCUGAAUCAAAUACGGUAUUUUGCUGUUUUGAUUUGUGUUGUUUCGGUUUACGGUUUAUCUAUUGGUUUGGUUUAGUUGUGAGCACCCCUGUUUACUAGUGUGUUAAUCUAUGCAUGCAUAUUCAAUCUCAGAUUUUUUAUUUUCUUAUUUAUCAAUGAACUUUUUUUUUUUGAAAUAUCAUCAAUGAUUAUUUAAAUAUGUCUGUAAUUAUUAUUUUUUUACUGCAAUGAUGACAAAUAUGUGUCCCAUAUUUUUUAUUUUUGUUAGUGGUAAAUAUAUGUCUCAUGUUCAUUAUGUAUCAAUCACAAAUUUGUCCCUUGUUUUUUCUUCUAGAUUUACCAAUGACAAUAUUUCUCCCGUAUUUUUUAUGAAUUAAUGACUAAUAUUAACAUUGUUUUUUUUUAUUAGUGAAAAAUAUUUAACUCGUAACUUUAUAUGUAUCGAUAAUAAAUAUUUCUCCUAUUUACUUUUUAUAUAUGUAUAAUAACAACAAAUAUAUGUAUGUGACUGUUUAAAAUAUAUAUAUAUAGUUAUGAACCUCAACAAUGAACAAUCCCUCUCCACAUCCUAUACUUACAUUACAUUCAUUAAUCAUUAUAACUACACCGCUAGGUAGACUUUCAAUAUAAUAGCCUCAAUAUAUUGGGAUCAAAUUACAAUAAUAUUAUAAAUCAAUCAUCAUAUAUAAUUUAUUGAAGAAGAAAAAAUCAAACAAAUAUGGCAAUAUAUUGCUGCCAAGUUGCCAAUGCAAACUCUUAUUUGAAUAACAUGACAAAGAUUGAGAAGUGAUGAUGUCUCUUAAGCAAAAAUGGUUGCCAUGGCCACUAUGGCUACCAUGACAACUCCAAACAUAGAUGAUACAAUAGAGUGAGCAUUAGAAGAUGGAGGAGGGGAAGGAGCAGGUGCGCCUUCUGCUAGAACAGUGAUGACAAAUUUCAUUUGAUGAGCAGAACAAUGAUCAGCUACGCCACAAACAUACCACUUUCUUCCUUCUGUUUUUAGUUGAAUGAUAUCCUUUCCCGUAGAGAGUGCUUCAUUUUUUGGUGGAAAAGUGCAGUCCUUAAAAAGUGU
Molecule: long non-coding RNA, 26340 nt
Filed under: Medicago truncatula (barrel medic)
Lineage: Eukaryota; Viridiplantae; Streptophyta; Magnoliopsida; Fabales; Fabaceae
Description: long non-coding RNA (MTRU_LNC005414)
Source: RNAcentral